RNAcentral lists this long non-coding RNA (519 nucleotides) under Mus musculus (house mouse). RNAcentral describes it as "predicted gene 7607 (Gm7607)". The record is from RNAcentral. Lineage: Eukaryota; Metazoa; Chordata; Mammalia; Rodentia; Muridae.
GAGCCAAGUCUGCCUCAUCCGUGAUGACUCCAUCCAGAGCCACAAGCAUUGCCCAGACACGCUCAGCCCUCACAAGGUGGAGCUCUGGAAUCCCAGGGCUCUGUUGUUUUGGAUCCUCUCAAGGUCCUGAAGCACCAAUCAGUCGCCUCUGCUGCUCAAAGGGAAGAAAGCCAGGCACAGUCCUUAAGACAGAGUCUUACAUCUUUGGAAGCUGGUACAAGCACUCUGGAAAUCAGUUUAGCGGUUCCUCAGAAAAUUGGACAUAUUUUGAAGCUAACGAUAUUCCCUAAGCCUUAAUUUAACUGAAGCUUCAGAUUUCAAAAUGUUAUAUCUUGCUCUUUCUGGGUCUACUUGUUUAUUUCCAUUACAACAGAUUGUUUAAAGAGAUGUUAUUUAGUUUAUGAUUUUUUCCUACUAUCUUACUGACUUCUAAUGUAAUCCCACACAGUCAGAGAACAUGCUCUACACAGUAUCAGCCCUUGUAACUGCAUGGCUGAGAUAUUGUGUCAUGUGCACUGA